This is a long non-coding RNA of Saccostrea cuccullata (small rock oyster), 482 nucleotides long. RefSeq lists it as uncharacterized. The transcript has 3 exons. NCBI's taxonomy places the organism in Eukaryota, Metazoa, Mollusca, Bivalvia, Ostreida, Ostreidae. The record is from RefSeq and is a predicted model, not a curated record.
CUGGUAUGUCCAGGCUAACCCUGGCCAUGGCCAAGAUUCCAGGUGACGUCGAUCAUUCCCAAGCUUCUACGAGAUAACCGGCCAAGAUUCCAAGAGAUAGAGAUUUGGUCGGCCAAGAUUCCAAGAGAUAGAGAUUUGGCCAAGAUUUCUAAGGACGCUCCACGCGGUUGUGGAGGCAGCGUGGUCAUUUGAUUUAGGAGACAUCUGCCAUCGUCGUCAUUACAUUUGAUUCAUCAAGGCCAAGGUCAACUCCAUAAAAUGGUGAUUAUUUCAUCAAACUUAACUUGUACCAACAGCUGAAUCCAGAAGAGGACACUCUUGAUGGGUCAUACAGACCUUAACAGUAAAGAAUGCCUUUACCAGUUGCAGAAGCUCAGACUAUCCAUUGAGAGUGUUUUGUGUUUAGCCUACCAAGAUACUUACAUUGUACAAAAAGAAAUCUUUACUGCAUGUAAAUUAAAAAAUCUAACUAUUACAUGUAU